Molecule: long non-coding RNA, 250 nt
Filed under: Arachis ipaensis
Lineage: Eukaryota; Viridiplantae; Streptophyta; Magnoliopsida; Fabales; Fabaceae
Description: long non-coding RNA (AIPA_LNC002561)
Source: RNAcentral
UUAUGGAAACAUGUUAUUGAAAGAAUGUUUUUACAUUCUUAAGUAUUUAAUACCAAAAAUUUUAUAUCGAAUACAUUUUAUUAAGAUAAAAUUGUCAAAAAAUUGAAUAUGUUUUUUUCGAACCACAUGUCACAUUAAUCAUACUUCUUUGUGUCGGAUGUUGCUUUAUAUUCAAGUCCUUCAAGUUCUUCAGGUAAAUAGUAAAAUUACUCACUGCACUAAAUCCAAAUAACCUUAUUCAAAGAAGCUG